This 100-nucleotide non-coding RNA is filed under the name Oryzias latipes (Japanese medaka). RNAcentral's name for it is "Eukaryotic large subunit ribosomal RNA". It matches the Rfam family "Eukaryotic large subunit ribosomal RNA", at positions 2885 to 2984 of the family's 3401-position model. Lineage: Eukaryota; Metazoa; Chordata; Actinopteri; Beloniformes; Adrianichthyidae. The record is from Rfam by way of RNAcentral.
CAACUGUUCCUAUCAUUGUGAAGAAGAAUUCACCAAGCAUUGGAUUGUUCACCAACUAAUUGGCAACGUGAGCUGGGCUUAGAUCGUCGUGAGACAGGUU